GUGGAAGGGAGGUAACAUUUGAUCAGUGCCACAGCUAAAUCAGUUUACAAGACAAAAUCAAAGGAAAAAGAAGGUUGGACAGACAGACUGAGGAUUUCUCAAAGGGUUAAGAUCCUGUUCUGUGUACUCAUGACUAGAAUGACUAUCUGUACAAGUGCUUUUAGUGGUGCUUUCUGUAAAAGAGUUCAUUAAAAAAAAAAAAAAAAAGGCCAUCAAAAAAAUCAAGCCAAAAUGAUGACGUGAUGAAAUGGAGCCAGUCAACAGAACAGAGCAGGAACAAACUUGGAAGCAGCUGACUCCCUGGAGUGACGUCUUCAUUUCAAGGAAAGAAGGAACUUCAUGCACUCAGUAAGUGAUAAACAAAUCAUAAGUGAACAACAUUACAAGGGUCUCAAAUAGCAAAAUGCCUCAUGAUAGUGUCAAAGAAAUCAAAGGCAAUGUCCAGUUAUUCUCAAACCAUGUGUGACAGCCAGCCUGGUAGAGAAGAAAGAAAUGGCACGUAAAUAUGUGAAUCUUUCUGCCAACCUGUAACCUAAAUCACAGUCUGCCGUGUACUCUUGGUUGAACUUGGGUACCUCAGGUAUCUGAUUACCUGCUCAUCUUUUUUAAAAAAGGCAAU
Phyllostomus discolor (pale spear-nosed bat) is the source of this 619-nucleotide long non-coding RNA. RefSeq lists it as uncharacterized. The transcript has 2 exons. NCBI's taxonomy places the organism in Eukaryota, Metazoa, Chordata, Mammalia, Chiroptera, Phyllostomidae. The record is from RefSeq and is a predicted model, not a curated record.